AGAGGGUGAGAAUCCCGUACGGGACCGGCGGCCAACCCCAUGUGAAACCCCUUCGACGAGUCGAGUUGUUUGGGAAUGCAGCUCAAAUUGGGUGGUAAAUUUCAUCUAAAGCUAAAUACCGGCCAGAGACCGAUAGCGCACAAGUAGAGUGAUCGAAAGAUGAAAAGCACUUUGGAAAGAGAGUCAAAAAGUACGUGAAAUUGUUGAAAGGGAAGCGCUUGCAACCAGACCUGUCCACCGGCGAUCAGCCUCCGUUCUCGGGGGUGCACUCGUCGGCGAUCAGRCCAGCAUCGGUCUGGGCGGUCGGAUAAGGGCCUUGGGAAUGUAGCUCCCUCCGGGGAGUCUUAGAGCCCUCGGUGUAAUGCGGCCAGCUCGGACCGAGGAUCGCGCUUCGGCUAGGAUGCUGRCGUAAUGGUUGUAAGCGACCCGUCUUGAMACACGGACCAAGGAGUCUAACAUCUAUGCAAGUGUUUGGGUGUCAAACCCAUACGCGUAAUGAAAGUGAACGGAGGUGAGAACCCUUUAGGGUGCAUUAUCGACCGAUCCAGAUGUCUUCGGAUGGAUUUGAGUACGAGCAUAGCUGUUGGGACCCGAAAGAUGGUGAACUAUGCCUGAAUAGGGUGAAGCCAGAGGAAACUCUGGUGG
RNAcentral lists this ribosomal RNA (645 nucleotides) under Miriquidica complanata. RNAcentral describes it as "eukaryotic LSU rRNA". It matches the Rfam family "Eukaryotic large subunit ribosomal RNA", at positions 207 to 870 of the family's 3401-position model. Lineage: Eukaryota; Fungi; Ascomycota; Lecanoromycetes; Lecanorales; Lecanoraceae. The record is from RNAcentral.